GGGAAUAUUGCGCAAUGGGCGAAAGCCUGACGCAGCGACACCGCGUGUGGGAAGACGCUUUUCGGAGUGUAAACCACUGUGGCAGGGGAAGAAGUUCUGACUGUACCCUGCUAGAAAGCACCCUGCUAACUACGUGCCAGAAGCCUCGGUAAUACGUAGGGUGCAAGCGUUAUCCGGAUUUACUGGGCGUAAAGGGUCCGUCGGCGUCUUUGUAAGUCUUCUGUUUAAGCCUGGGGCUCAACUCCAGAAAGGCAGAGGAAACUACUUAGAUUGAGUAUGUCAGAGGAGUUUGGAAUUCUCGGUGGAGGGGUGAAAUCCGUAGAUAUCGAGAGGAACGCCAAUCGCGAAAGCAGAACUCUGGGACAUUACUGACGCUCAUGGACGAAAGCUAGGGUAGCAAAAGGGAUUAGAGACCCCUGUAGUCCUAGCCGUAAACGUUCCUUGCUAGAUGCUUGAUCUCUGAUUGGGUGUCGUAAGCUAACGCGUUAAGCAAGGCGCCUGGGGAGUACGACCGCAAGGUUAAAACUCAAAGGAAUUGACGGGGGAGCGCACAACCGGUGGAGCAUGUGGUUUAAUUCGAUACAAAGCGAAAGACCUUACCCAGACUUGACAUGUGCCUGCACGUCCCAAGAAAUUGGGAUUUCUUCGAGAGUGGCACACAGGUGAUGCAUGGCUGUCGUCAGCUCGUGUCGUGAGACGUCCUCUUAAGUGAGGUAACGAGCGCAACCCUUGCCGUCAGUUACAAGUGUCUGACGGGACUGCCUUCGCUUAUCGAGGGAGGAAGGAGAGGACGACGUCAAGUCAGCAUGUCCCUUACGUCUGGGGCUACACACAUCCUACAAUGGAGCCGACAACGGGUAGCGAUGGAGCAAUCCUGAGCUAAUCCUUUAAACGGCCCCUCAGUUCGGAUUGAGGGCUGCAAUUCGCCCUCAUGAAGCCGGAAUCGGUAGUAAUCGCAAAUCAGCAGGUUGCGGUGAAUACGUUCUCGCUCCUUGUACACACUGCCCGUCAAGCCAGCAAAGUUAGUAGCGCCCGAAGCGGGUGACCGUAACCUUUUGGACGGCCCUU
This 1068-nucleotide ribosomal RNA is filed under the name uncultured organism. RNAcentral's name for it is "bacterial SSU rRNA". It matches the Rfam family "Bacterial small subunit ribosomal RNA", at positions 357 to 1455 of the family's 1533-position model. The record is from RNAcentral.